GAUGAACGCUGGCGGCGUGCCUAAUACAUGCAAGUCGAGCGAACGGACGAGAAGCUUGCUUCUCUGAUGUUAGCGGCGGACGGGUGAGUAACACGUGGAUAACCUACCUAUAAGACUGGGAUAACUUCGGGAAACCGUAGCUAAUACCGGAUAAUAUUUUGAACCGCAUGGUUCAAAAGUGAAGGACGGUCUUGCUGUCACUUAUAGAUGGAUCCGCGCUGCAUUAGCUAGUUGGUAAGGUAACGGCUUACCAAGGCAACGAUGCAUAGCCGACCUGAGAGGGUGAUCGGCCACACUGGAAUUGAGACACGGUCCAGACUCCUACGGGAGGCAGCAGUAGGGAAUCUUCCGCAAUGGGCGAAAGCCUGACGGAGCAACGCCGCGUGAGUGAUGAAGGUCUUCGGAUCGUAAAACUCUGUUAUUAGGGAAGAACAUAUGUGUAAGUAACUGUGCACAUCUUGACGGUACCUAAUCAGAAAGCCACGGCUAACUACGUG
Molecule: ribosomal RNA, 497 nt
Filed under: uncultured bacterium
Lineage: Bacteria
Description: partial 16S ribosomal RNA
Rfam family: Bacterial small subunit ribosomal RNA
Source: RNAcentral